This 1882-nucleotide ribosomal RNA is filed under the name Escherichia coli. RNAcentral's name for it is "partial 23S ribosomal RNA". It matches the Rfam family "Bacterial large subunit ribosomal RNA", at positions 772 to 2636 of the family's 2925-position model. The record is from RNAcentral. Lineage: Bacteria; Pseudomonadati; Pseudomonadota; Gammaproteobacteria; Enterobacterales; Enterobacteriaceae.
GACCGAACCGACUAAUGUUGAAAAAUUAGCGGAUGACUUGUGGCUGGGGGUGAAAGGCCAAUCAAACCGGGAGAUAGCUGGUUCUCCCCGAAAGCUAUUUAGGUAGCGCCUCGUGAAUUCAUCUCCGGGGGUAGAGCACUGUUUCGGCAAGGGGGUCAUCCCGACUUACCAACCCGAUGCAAACUGCGAAUACCGGAGAAUGUUAUCACGGGAGACACACGGCGGGUGCUAACGUCCGUCGUGAAGAGGGAAACAACCCAGACCGCCAGCUAAGGUCCCAAAGUCAUGGUUAAGUGGGAAACGAUGUGGGAAGGCCCAGACAGCCAGGAUGUUGGCUUAGAAGCAGCCAUCAUUUAAAGAAAGCGUAAUAGCUCACUGGUCGAGUCGGCCUGCGCGGAAGAUGUAACGGGGCUAAACCAUGCACCGAAGCUGCGGCAGCGACGCUGAUGCGUUGUUGGGUAGGGGAGCGUUCUGUAAGCCUGUGAAGGUGUGCUGUGAGGCAUGCUGGAGGUAUCAGAAGUGCGAAUGCUGACAUAAGUAACGAUAAAGCGGGUGAAAAGCCCGCUCGCCGGAAGACCAAGGGUUCCUGUCCAACGUUAAUCGGGGCAGGGUGAGUCGACCCCUAAGGCGAGGCCGAAAGGCGUAGUCGAUGGGAAACAGGUUAAUAUUCCUGUACUUGGUGUUACUGCGAAGGGGGGACGGAGAAGGCUAUGUUGGCCGGGCGACGGUUGUCCCGGUUUAAGCGUGUAGGCUGGUUUUCCAGGCAAAUCCGGAAAAUCAAGGCUGAGGCGUGAUGACGAGGCACUACGGUGCUGAAGCAACAAAUGCCCUGCUUCCAGGAAAAGCCUCUAAGCAUCAGGUAACAUCAAAUCGUACCCCAAACCGACACAGGUGGUCAGGUAGAGAAUACCAAGGCGCUUGAGAGAACUCGGGUGAAGGAACUAGGCAAAAUGGUGCCGUAACUUCGGGAGAAGGCACGCUGAUAUGUAGGUGAAGCGACUUGCUCGUGGAGCUGAAAUCAGUCGAAGAUACCAGCUGGCUGCAACUGUUUAUUAAAAACACAGCACUGUGCAAACACGAAAGUGGACGUAUACGGUGUGACGCCUGCCCGGUGCCGGAAGGUUAAUUGAUGGGGUCAGCGCAAGCGAAGCUCUUGAUCGAAGCCCCGGUAAACGGCGGCCGUAACUAUAACGGUCCUAAGGUAGCGAAAUUCCUUGUCGGGUAAGUUCCGACCUGCACGAAUGGCGUAAUGAUGGCCAGGCUGUCUCCACCCGAGACUCAGUGAAAUUGAACUCGCUGUGAAGAUGCAGUGUACCCGCGGCAAGACGGAAAGACCCCGUGAACCUUUACUAUAGCUUGACACUGAACAUUGAGCCUUGAUGUGUAGGAUAGGUGGGAGGCUUUGAAGUGUGGACGCCAGUCUGCAUGGAGCCGGCCUUGAAAUACCACCCUUUAAUGUUUGAUGUUCUAACGUUGACCCGUGAUCCGGGUUGCGGACAGUGUCUGGUGGGUAGUUUGACUGGGGCGGUCUCCUCCUAAAGAGUAACGGAGGAGCACGAAGGUUGGCUAAUCCUGGUCGGACAUCAGGAGGUUAGUGCAAUGGCAUAAGCCAGCUUGACUGCGAGCGUGACGGCGCGAGCAGGUGCGAAAGCAGGUCAUAGUGAUCCGGUGGUUCUGAAUGGAAGGGCCAUCGCUCAACGGAUAAAAGGUACUCCGGGGAUAACAGGCUGAUACCGCCCAAGAGUUCAUAUCGACGGCGGUGUUUGGCACCUCGAUGUCGGCUCAUCACAUCCUGGGGCUGAAGUAGGUCCCAAGGGUAUGGCUGUUCGCCAUUUAAAGUGGUACGCGAGCUGGGUUUAGAACGUCGUGAGACAGUUCGGUC